RNAcentral lists this ribosomal RNA (491 nucleotides) under uncultured bacterium. RNAcentral describes it as "partial 16S ribosomal RNA". It matches the Rfam family "Bacterial small subunit ribosomal RNA", at positions 29 to 506 of the family's 1533-position model. The record is from RNAcentral.
AGUGAGCGCUGGCGGUAGGCCUAACACAUGCAAGUCGAACGGCAGCACAGUAAGAGCUUGCUCUUACGGGUGGCGAGUGGCGGACGGGUGAGGAAUACAUCGGAAUCUACUUUUUCGUGGGGGAUAACGUAGGGAAACUUACGCUAAUACCGCAUACGACCUACGGGUGAAAGUAGGGGAUCUUCGGACCUUGCGCGAUUGAAUGAGCCGAUGUCGGAUUAGCUAGUUGGCGGGGUAAAGGCCCACCAAGGCGACGAUCCGUAGCUGGUCUGAGAGGAUGAUCAGCCACACUGGAACUGAGACACGGUCCAGACUCCUACGGGAGGCAGCAGUGGGGAAUAUUGGACAAUGGGCGCAAGCCUGAUCCAGCCAUACCGCGUGGGUGAAGAAGGCCUUCGGGUUGUAAAGCCCUUUUGUUGGGAAAGAAAAGCAGCAGGUUAAUACCCCGCUGUUCUGACGGUACCCAAAGAAUAAGCACCGGCUAACUUCGU